RNAcentral lists this ribosomal RNA (292 nucleotides) under uncultured bacterium. RNAcentral's name for it is "partial 16S ribosomal RNA". It matches the Rfam family "Bacterial small subunit ribosomal RNA", at positions 505 to 796 of the family's 1533-position model. The record is from RNAcentral.
GUGCCAGCCGCCGCGGUAAUACGGAGGGUGCGAGCGUUGUUCGGAAUUACUGGGCGUAAAGCGCGUGUAGGCGGCCUUGUAAGUCUGGUGUGAAAGCCCGGGGCUCACCCCCGGAAGUGCAUUGGAUACUGCAAGGCUCGAGUACCGGAGAGGAGGGUGGAAUUCCUGGUGUAGCGGUGAAAUGCGUAGAUAUCAGGAGGAACACCGGUGGCGAAGGCGGCCCUCUGGACGGAUACUGACGCUGAGACGCGAAAGCGUGGGGAGCAAACAGGAUUAGAUACCCCUGUAGUCC